GAGACACCAAAUCCACACAUUCCGGAGUUUAUCAUCUGAAGAUCACCAAGAAAGGCGCAACAGUAUACAAGAGAUUCAAGGUCAAUAUCAACGGAGGUGGUGAACAAGCACCUCCCAAGAAAAUCGGACAGAAAUCUCUUCAAAUUCGUGAUAUUGUAAAAACUUUUUUUUGCUUCAUGUUUGCAGGACUGAUUGGACUCAUAAUCAUUACAUGCUGUUUCUGGUAUUCAAGAC
Carassius auratus (goldfish) is the source of this 234-nucleotide long non-coding RNA. RefSeq lists it as uncharacterized. The record is from RefSeq and is a predicted model, not a curated record. The transcript is spliced from 3 exons. NCBI's taxonomy places the organism in Eukaryota, Metazoa, Chordata, Actinopteri, Cypriniformes, Cyprinidae.